RNAcentral lists this microRNA precursor (101 nucleotides) under Lepisosteus oculatus (spotted gar). Its description in RNAcentral is "miRNA (ENSLOCG00000020176.1)". Lineage: Eukaryota; Metazoa; Chordata; Actinopteri; Semionotiformes; Lepisosteidae. The record is from RNAcentral.
AGCACAAUACAGAACAGUACAGAGCCAUACAGUAGUGCUUGUGACUAUACAGUACAGUACAGAGCACUAUAGUACAGCACAGCACAGUACAGUACAGAACA